UUUUUUAAUUGAAAACUUGUAUGAAGGGUUUAACGAAAUAUUAACUGUUUCAUAAAAAUUUAUAUAGAAAUUAAUUUUUUAGUUAAAAAGCUAAAAUAAUUUUAAGGGACGAGAAGACCCUAUAGAGUUUAAUAUUAUUUUAAUUAUAAUUUAUUUAUAAUAAUAAAAAUUUUAUUUAAAAUAAUAUUUUGUUGGGGUGACAGUAAAAUUUUUUUAUCUUUUAUUAUUAUUUAUCAAUGAUUUUUGAGUAAUUGAUCCAUUUUUAGUGAUUAAAAGAUUAAAUUACCUUAGGGAUAACAGCGUAAUUUUUUUGUAGAGUUCUUAUCAAUAAAAAAUUUUGC
RNAcentral lists this ribosomal RNA (341 nucleotides) under Acomopterella martinovskyi. Its description in RNAcentral is "partial 16S ribosomal RNA". The record is from RNAcentral. Lineage: Eukaryota; Metazoa; Arthropoda; Insecta; Diptera; Mycetophilidae.